This 395-nucleotide ribosomal RNA is filed under the name uncultured bacterium. Its description in RNAcentral is "bacterial SSU rRNA". It matches the Rfam family "Bacterial small subunit ribosomal RNA", at positions 28 to 429 of the family's 1533-position model. The record is from RNAcentral.
GACGAACGCUGGCGGCGUGCUUAACACAUGCAAGUCGAGCGGUAAGGCCCUUUUGGGGGUACACGAGCGGCGAACGGGUGAGUAACACGUGGGUGACCUGCCCUCAGCUCUGGGAUAAGCCUGGGAAACUGGGUCUAAUACUGGAUAUGACCUUUCCUCGCAUGGGGUUGGGUGGAAAGUUUUUCGGCUGGGGAUGGGCCCGCGGCCUAUCAGCUUGUUGGUGGGGUGAUGGCCUACCAAGGCGACGACGGGUAGCCGGCCUGAGAGGGCGACCGGCCACACUGGGACUGAGACACGGCCCAGACUCCUACGGGAGGCAGCAGUGGGGAAUAUUGCGCAAUGGGCGGAAGCCUGACGCAGCGACGCCGCGUGGGGAUGACGGCCUCGGUUGUAAC